This 515-nucleotide ribosomal RNA is filed under the name uncultured bacterium. Its description in RNAcentral is "partial 16S ribosomal RNA". It matches the Rfam family "Bacterial small subunit ribosomal RNA", at positions 28 to 523 of the family's 1533-position model. The record is from RNAcentral.
GAUGAACGCUGGCGGCGUGCCUAAUACAUGCAAGUCGAGCGAAUGGAUUAAGAGCUUGCUCUUAUGAAGUUAGCGGCGGACGGGUGAGUAACACGUGGGUAACCUGCCCAUAAGACUGGGAUAACUCCGGGAAACCGGGGCUAAUACCGGAUAACAUUUUGAACCGCAUGGCUCGAAAUUGAAAGGCGGCUUCGGCUGUCACUUAUGGAUGGACCCGCGUCCCAUUAGCUAGUUGGUGAGGUAACGGCUCACCAAGGCAACGAUGCGUAGCCGACCUGAGAGGGUGAUCGGCCACACUGGGACUGAGACACGGCCCAGACUCCUACGGGAGGCAGCAGUAGGGAAUCUUCCGCAAUGGACGAAAGUCUGACGGAGCAACGCCGCGUGAGUGAGGAAGGCUUUCGGGUCGUAAAACUCUGUUGUUAGGGAAGAACAAGUGCUAGUUGAAUAAGCUGGCACCUUGACGGUACCUAACCAGAAAGCCACGGCUAACUACGUGCCAGCAGCCGCGGUAA